GCCUUCGUGGUGUAGUGGUCAGCACGCUGGGCGCGCGUUCCAGGGGUUCUUGGUUCGAGUCCCGGCGAAGGCG
RNAcentral lists this transfer RNA (73 nucleotides) under Stegodyphus mimosarum. It matches the Rfam family "tRNA". From Rfam's summary of the family: Transfer RNA (tRNA) molecules are approximately 80 nucleotides in length. Their secondary structure includes four short double-helical elements and three loops (D, anti-codon, and T loops). The record is from Rfam by way of RNAcentral. Lineage: Eukaryota; Metazoa; Arthropoda; Arachnida; Araneae; Eresidae.